This 683-nucleotide long non-coding RNA is filed under the name Sorghum bicolor (sorghum). RNAcentral describes it as "long non-coding RNA (SBIC_LNC011696)". The record is from RNAcentral. Lineage: Eukaryota; Viridiplantae; Streptophyta; Magnoliopsida; Poales; Poaceae.
AGCACCACUAAACUAAAGCACAGACACACGCCGGCCGAUUGCCGACGAUAAAUCGCUUCGACGACGACGGCGAUCUAGCUACUCUCACCUGCUGGCCGCCCCCUGCUGAUGAUCGGCGGUGGUGGUGGUGCGCGGCCUCCUCAUCAUGGCGCCGUCUUCGGCUUCGGCGACGGUGGUGCGCGGCCUCCUCGUCAUCACGUGAUCGGCGAUGGAGAUGCACGGCCACACCAUGACUUCAUCGGAGGUGGUGGUGGUGCGCGGCCUCAUCAUCAUGGAGAUCGCGUGGCGGAGGAGCCUGGCGGUGGCCAUGCUUGGUUUGUACACGAACAUGUCGGCGUCGAUGUAGGGCGCCCGCGGCCGGCCGCCGUUGGGCUCGAACUGCUCGUGGAUGUUCUCCAACGACCCUUGAAAACCCACCGCGUCCAGGUACAUCAUCUGAUCGUACUCCACGAACUGCACCGACGACGACGACAUCAAUUUUAAUUUAGCGACCGUGCACACCAUACAUAUUAUCGCAGCUUGAAUAAAUAAACUAGUUUGUGGAUACCUCCCAGACGCGGAGCUUGUUGUAGUGGGGCGGGAACACGGGCUGGACCUCGCGGACGACGCAGCCCAGCUCAUCCAUGAGGACGCGGCGGCGGGACUCCGGCACGUCGGGGAGGACGGCGACCACCAGCGGGUAG